RNAcentral lists this non-coding RNA (159 nucleotides) under uncultured Mediterraneibacter sp. RNAcentral describes it as "Glycine riboswitch". It matches the Rfam family "Glycine riboswitch aptamer", at positions 9 to 86 of the family's 94-position model. From Rfam's summary of the family: This family represents the bacterial glycine riboswitch. Glycine riboswitches usually consist of two metabolite-binding aptamers domains with similar structures in tandem. The record is from RNAcentral. Lineage: Bacteria; Bacillati; Bacillota; Clostridia; Lachnospirales; Lachnospiraceae.
ACUCAGGAGAGUCUCUUUUCCGGAUGGCUGCGUCCCGGUAAUCACAGGACCGGCAAAACAGGAAAAGAGCGCCGAAGGUGUAAGCGUUCAUCUGCCGCUUCUUUGUCCUGAAAGGGCGGCGGAUGCGUGAGUCUCUCAGGCAAAAGGAUGGAGGUAUAA